AAUAUUUAGACCAGCUGAAAAUAGGAGCCCAUGAAAAGAGGAGCCCAUGACUAAUUAUUAGGGUUUCACACUCCUAAUCCUAGCCGUCAAACACCCAAAUCCCCCAUUCUUUCCUCUCUCAUUUUGCUAACUCAAUCUCUCUCUUCUACGACUCAAUUCACUCAAUCUCCUCCAUUUCACCACCCUAAUUCCUUUAUUCUCUUGUUUGUUAGAGUAUUUAGAAUGUCUGAAGGACUAUUACUCCCUCUACACCGUCGACGGCGGCGAUAAGGCCGUCAUCUUUGACCGUUUUUGCGGAGUUCUCGAUGAAAUUGUCGGCGAAGGUACUCAUGUCCGAAUUUCAUGGCUCCAGAAGCCUUACACCUUCGAUAUUCGUACUCGACCUCACAAUUUUUCAUCAAUUUUUGGUACUAAGGAUCUUCAGAUGGUGAAUCUUACUCUUAGGGUUUUGUCUCGUCCUGAUCAGAAUCGUCUUCCUCAUAUUUUUCAGACUCUUAGGUUCCGUCAUCAUAUUGGAGUAUGAUGAGAAGGUUCUUCCUUCUAUUGGUCUUGUUCGAGAUAGCUUGAUUAAGAGGUAUUCAUUUUGUUAAUUCUGUAAUUUUUUUCUGGAGAUCUUGAGUUAGGGUUUUAUUCAACGCAUAAAUUGUUUCUUGGUUUUUUUUUUUAUAAUUUGAAUAUUUUGGUGUUAAAUUGGUCAUAAAGAUGCAUUUAGUAGGAAUUUUAUGCUAUUGUUGUUGUUUUCCCUGAUUAUUAUGUUGCAGUAGUUAGCUGAUUGUGUAGUUGAAGUUAUAACUUGUACAUUUUGAUUGAUCCUGAGACUAGUUGUGUGUUUGUUGCGAACAUUUUAAUUGCACUACUGUGUGUAUUUUAUUCUUUGACUUUGUUUUGCUCGGAUUCUAGGGUUUCUGUCAGUUUUUUUUGUAUGAUAAUGAUGGCUCUUUCGAUUUCUGCUGCGAUUUCCCCUCUUUUUAUUGUGUUUUAGUCUGAUUUCUAUUUUUUGUAUUUUUUUUUUGUUUUUUGCUUUGUUUUUAUUCCUGAUAAUAUGGUUAGGGAUUUCAGUUGAAUAUGACUGAUUUUUUUAUAUAAAGUCCACAUUUUCUUGGUUGAGAUUAUUUUAUUUUUCUUAGAAAUCGAUUGCCCUUGUAGUUUUAUGAGGGAUUUUAGUUGCGUAGGAAAUUAGUCAGCUAGAUUUACAAGGUUUUGAAAGCAUUUCGAUUUGUUUUGAGAGUUGAAUAAUAUAAGUGUUGUUAUUUAUUGUGUUAAUUAGCAUGUUUUUGGAAAGUGUUGUUUAUGGGAAACAAUAUAUACAAGUACAUUCAUUUGUUUAUGCUGUAUGUUAUUGAUGUUCGAUGAAAUCCAACUAUGGGAACUGGUUUCCUAUGUUCAAAUGUUCAAAUGUUUUCCUGCGAGUUCUCUUAGUUAGAUAUCAGAGAAACUACUAUGUUCUAUGAUCCAUCAUUGAUAAUUCAUGAAGGAGACAAUGGCGUUGUAUACAUAACACUGAAGUCGCAAUAAAGAUACUUAAUCCUGAUAGCUUGCAGGGUAAUGCAGAAUUCAAACAUGAGUUUGAUGUACUAAGCAAGUUGUGCCAUCCAAACCUGGUGAGUCUCAUUGGUGCAUGCCAUGACUCCUUGGCUCUCAUAUAUCAAGUAUCUUCCCAAUGGAAAUCUUGAAGACCGACUGAAUUGCAAAGACAACACUUCCCUGUUACCAUGGUAAACAAGAAUUCGGGUAGUCAUUGACUUAUGCUCAGCCCUUAACUUCCUACAUUCUAUCCAACCUUGCAGCAUUCUACACAGUGAUUUAAAACUAAAAAAUAUACUUCUGGACGCCAAUUUCUGCCAUAUUAUCUCUAACAACAAGCAGACUCUCACAACUGAUGAAUUAAUGGGAAGAAGCUUGAGGAUAUUAUUCCAUCUUCUCACAAUUGUGAUGCUCCCCAUGUCACUCGUACUGAUUAUCAGCUCCUUGACAUAACUGAGGAUGGUUUUGGGAGCGAAUUUGGGAUAAGGCUAGAAAAAAUCAGGUUAUCAUGGCGAUACAAGUUUGGGUAUGGUGACGAGUAAGCCGAGAGUACGACAAGAAAUGAUAUUGAGAUCUUCUCCGGCGGCUUUAAUAGUUCAGUGUGGAAUACACGGCUUCAAUAGCAAUUAGCAAGUGCAUGACUUGUUUUUAAUUUCUUUAAUUGAUAAAAUCAUUUGAAUGUAUGGCUUUUGUUAAUUGUAUUUGAAGUGUAUACUUGUAUAAAUUAUUAUUUAAUAUUAUUUAUUUUUUGUAAUUGAUAAAAUCAUUAACCAAACUAAGCUAUCCACUGUCCAGCAUAUGCUGAUUUUUUUUUUAAUUAGGACAAACACUAU
This is a long non-coding RNA of Chenopodium quinoa (quinoa), 2357 nucleotides long. RefSeq lists it as uncharacterized. The record is from RefSeq and is a predicted model, not a curated record. Lineage: Eukaryota; Viridiplantae; Streptophyta; Magnoliopsida; Caryophyllales; Amaranthaceae. The transcript is spliced from 4 exons.